This 507-nucleotide ribosomal RNA is filed under the name uncultured bacterium. RNAcentral describes it as "partial 16S ribosomal RNA". It matches the Rfam family "Bacterial small subunit ribosomal RNA", at positions 28 to 523 of the family's 1533-position model. The record is from RNAcentral.
GAUGAACGCUAGCUACAGGCUUAACACAUGCAAGUCGAGGGGAAACGAUAUUGGAAGCUUGCUUCCGAUAGGCGUCGACCGGCGCACGGGUGAGUAACGCGUAUCCAACCUGCCCACCACUUGGGGAUAACCUUGCGAAAGUAAGACUAAUACCCAAUGACGUCCAUAGAAGACAUCUGAAAUGGAUUAAAGAUUUAUCGGUGAUGGAUGGGGAUGCGUCUGAAUAGCUUGUUGGCGGGGUAACGGCCCACCAAGGCGACGAUCAGUAGGGGUUCUGAGAGGAAGGUCCCCACAUUGGAACUGAGACACGGUCCAAACUCCUACGGGAGGCAGCAGUGAGGAAUAUUGGUCAAUGGGCGAGAGCCUGAACCAGCCAAGUAGCGUGCAGGAUGACGGCCCUAUGGGUUGUAAACUGCUUUUAUAAGGGAAUAAAGUGAGCCUCGUGAGGCUUUUUGCAUGUACCUUAUGAAUAAGGACCGGCUAAUUCCGUGCCAGCCGCCGCAGUAA